Long non-coding RNA from Cryptomeria japonica (Japanese cedar), 931 nucleotides. RefSeq lists it as uncharacterized. The record is from RefSeq and is a predicted model, not a curated record. NCBI's taxonomy places the organism in Eukaryota, Viridiplantae, Streptophyta, Pinopsida, Cupressales, Cupressaceae. The transcript has 3 exons.
UAAUUUUGGAAGAAAAUAUUAAAAAAAAAAAGAACUGUAACUCGCUCAGAAAUCCUCCAGAACGACAGGAUACAUGGGAUUUAAUGCAUUGGGAGACGAGCUUGACAGGCUGGCAAAAAAUAGCUGUCCAGGAUAAUUACCUAGGUAAUCUCCAUAAAAGGCAUGAUAGGUAGUGCGCUUCUCAGCUUUAGGUGUUCUCCAUGACAAGUAAAGCAGCUUCUAUCUGCUUUCUGAGCGGCUUUCAUUUUGGGCGAGACUGGUAAAGACAAGUUUCUACAGAAUCCAGCUCAGAAGGGCUACAAUUUCGACAUUCUUUUAGUGCUAAUGGUGUUGUGGUAGUGGGACAAAGAGCAGGAACUCUGAAAGGGUUUUACUGGCACGGAGCACCAGAGUGACAGUUUGAAGGUUACAUUACCUUAUGAAGAAGUUGUCUGCCGUACCUUAUGAAGAUAAUUGAUCAGCUGCUGAAUUGAAUUCUGGGGUGAAGAAAAUUGUUGUAUCUUGCACGUUCAUUCGCCUUCUGAAGAAAAGUUUUACACGUGCCUUUAUCUUUUGAAGAAAAACGGAUUUGCAUAAAUCUCAAUUUAUUUUCAAAUUAAUUCCUGCAUGAAUAUGUAUGCUUAUGCACACUGGACCAUUUGGAUUGAAUGGCUCUGCUUUUAGCGAUUCUUGCAGCUGCUUUCAGUAUCUUUAGUUCUGACAUUGCUGUUACUAGAACUUCGAAGUCUGCUUUAACGCAUAAAGGGAAAUGUAAGAUCUGUUCUCAGUGACCAGAUUUGGGGGUAUGUCUGUAGCCCACUUCCUCAGGAGAAUAUAGGAUGGACUGAUAUGCCAUCCAUGUUAUCUGUACGGCGUUUACAGUCUUCUAAACUGGAAAGAUUUGCAAUAAAAACAAAUUUCAAAGAACCUUGCAGUUUUAAAAAUAUGCCAU